This 589-nucleotide ribosomal RNA is filed under the name uncultured bacterium. RNAcentral describes it as "bacterial SSU rRNA". It matches the Rfam family "Bacterial small subunit ribosomal RNA", at positions 338 to 916 of the family's 1533-position model. The record is from RNAcentral.
CCUACGGGAGGCAGCAGUGGGGAAUUGUUCGCAAUGGGCGCAAGCCUGACGACGCAACGCCGCGUGGAGGAUGAAGACCUUCGGGUCGUAAACUCCUUUCGAUCGAGACGAAUGUUUUCCGGGUGAACAAUCCGGAAAAGUGACGGUACCGAGAGAAGAAGCCCCGGCUAACUCUGUGCCAGCAGCCGCGGUAAUACAGGGGGGGCAAGCGUUGUUCGGAAUUACUGGGCGUAAAGGGCUUGUAGGUGGCCAACUAAGUCAGACGUGAAAUCCCUCAGCUUAACUGGGGAACUGCGUCUGAUACUGGAUGGCUUGAGUUUGGGAGAGGGAUGCGGAAUUCCAGGUGUAGCGGUGAAAUGCGUAGAUAUCUGGAGGAACACCGGUGGCGAAGGCGGCAUCCUGGACCAACACUGACACUGAGGAGCGAAAGCCAGGGGAGCAAACGGGAUUAGAUACCCCGGUAGUCCUGGCCCUAAACGAUGAAUGCUUGGUGUGGCGGGUAUCGAUCCCUGCCGUGCCGAAGCUAACGCAUUAAGCAUUCCGCCUGGGGAGUACGGUCGCAAGGCUGAAACUUNAAAUGAAUUGACGG